UUGUCAUUUAACGAAAAAGAAGGGCAGUGUUUCCUGCCUUUCAGGAAAAGGCAGACUGAAUUGAAGACAGUUUCUCUGUACACACUUUUUUUCUCGACAUCACUUCCUGUCCCGCCCUCUGAUCCACAAAGCUGAGAGACUCAAGCUGGUUCUUCUCAUUCGACAUGAUGCCGUCUCGUCUCAUCGGUUCCAUCAUCACUGUGUUCUGGAUUAAAGGAGUUUACCUCAGUAAAGAAAAACAAGUGGUCCAGACUCCAACUGAACUGUUUGUCCAACCAAAUGAUGAGGUCACCCUGAGCCUCACACAUGAAAUCACAAACUAUGACAGUAUUCUCUGGUAUCAGCGCUCAGCAGGAGACACUUCCCUGAAGCUGAUUGCCUACAUGGCCUAUAAAAGGCCUACAGUCGAGACGCCAUUUAAAAGCCGCUUUAACGUGAGCGGAGAUGGAGAGAAAGCAGCUUAUCUUCACACCCUGAGCCUGAGACACCCUGAAGACAGCGGACAAUAUUUUGGAGCAGCAUUUUAUACACAGUACUGAAGACGGUGGCGCUCUCAUACAAAAACCUCCAUAGCGAUCCAGCAGAUAGCGUCACACCAACAGGAAACCAGUGGAACCAUGUGACACGCUCUCAAACUGCUGAAAGAUGUCUGUGAAUGUGGAAGAUUUGUUGAGUUCCCUUUUGUAUGUGGAAGUAAACGUUAAAGAGAUAGGGGUUUGAGAAUAAGGAUUUUUUUAAAUAAAUCAGAAUUUUAACUUAAUAAAAGAAAUACCAUAACCGCUCACAGUUGUUGAUUAAUGUCAUAUUUUGCUGAUCAGCUCUACAAAGUAAUUUUUCACCGUAAUGUUUUAUGUUCAUGUGUUCCCAGAUUCUCAGAGGUCAUCUCUGUAUGAAUGAGAAUCAAAGAGCGGUGAGAACACACUGACAUGAAGAUAGCUGGAAGCUCCUCCUUCCUCAUUACAAAUGCACAAUAAAGGAUGAUUUCCCACUAAUGUAUUAUCAUUCAUGCCUUUGCAUAUCUCUGUUAAGAUUUGAGUCCUCACGGAGAACAUUACGUCUCCAUGAGGAUAUUCAAAAUGCUUCUCAUUUUGUUUUUUCCUCUGUCUUUGCUCACAGGUAAGAGGCAUCAGAUGUUUAAUUUCUCGUGACACGAACAAAACUUUCUGUUCACUUCAUUUCUUUUCUCCAUUUUUGCAAUCUAGACAUUGUGAUAUCAUCACUUUUAAUCCAACAAUCACCAGUAAAACUUUUGAUGAAACCUGAACAAGAAGCCGCCCAUCUUGUCUGUCACCACGGCGACAACAACUACCCCUACAUGCUUUGGUACCGGUCAGCAGCAGCAGCAGGAGGCCAGAGGGACAUGGAGCUGAUCGGUCGGCUUCAUUAUGAAAACUCGACCCCCGAGAAGAACUUUGAGGCCCGUUUCAACAUAACGGGCCACUCACAGGGCCGAGCGCAGCUUGUCAUCUCCAGCAUGAACCCAGCAGACAGUGCAGAGUACUUCUGUGCAGCGAGUCAGCACAGUGGUACAACACCUCUGGCUCCUUCACAAAAAGCUGGUGGCCCACAGUAUCAAACAAACACUGACAUAGAAACCACAACACAGCUGCUCCCCUAAUGCUAAUGAGACUCUUUUGUCUGUGAAACACGGCAGAGACUAUGAUGUCAUUUCCUCCUCAUAGAUCUCAAAGUGUUGGCUCUUUAUGUUUUCAUUCAUCUCCCCGUCCUACAUCAAAAUGAUUCCAGGCUUCCACACAUUGACUUUCUUUGUGCUUUGGGCUGCAGGUAAAGUUAAUUUUUUU
Molecule: long non-coding RNA, 1802 nt
Filed under: Cyclopterus lumpus (lumpfish)
Lineage: Eukaryota; Metazoa; Chordata; Actinopteri; Perciformes; Cyclopteridae
Description: lncRNA (ENSCLMG00005018017.1)
Source: RNAcentral